This 275-nucleotide ribosomal RNA is filed under the name uncultured bacterium. RNAcentral describes it as "partial 16S ribosomal RNA". It matches the Rfam family "Bacterial small subunit ribosomal RNA", at positions 338 to 627 of the family's 1533-position model. The record is from RNAcentral.
CCUACGGGGGGCUGCAGUGGGGAAUUUUCCGCAAUGGGCGAAAGCCUGACGGAGCAAGACCGCGUGAGGGAAGAAGGCCUAUUGGUUGUAAACCUCUUUUCUCGGGGAAGAAAAAAAUGACGGUACCCGAGGAAUAAGCCUCGGCUAACUCCGUGCCAGCAGCCGCGGUAAUACGGAGGAGGCAAGCGUUAUCCGGAAUUAUUGGGCGUAAAGCGUCCGUAGGUGGCCCAUCAAGUCUGCGGUUAAAGACCGGAGCUCAACUCCGGAGGAGCCGU